This 253-nucleotide ribosomal RNA is filed under the name uncultured bacterium. Its description in RNAcentral is "partial 16S ribosomal RNA". It matches the Rfam family "Bacterial small subunit ribosomal RNA", at positions 524 to 776 of the family's 1533-position model. The record is from RNAcentral.
UACGGGGGGGGCAAGCGUUGUUCGGAAUUACUGGGCGUAAAGGGCUCGUAGGUGGCCAACUAAGUCAGACGUGAAAUCCCUCGGCUUAACCGGGGAACUGCGUCUGAUACUGGAUGGCUUGAGUUUGGGAGAGGGACGCGGAAUUCCAGGUGUAGCGGUGAAAUGCGUAGAUAUCUGGAGGAACACCGGUGGCGAAGGCGGCGUCCUGGACCAACACUGACACUGAGGAGCGAAAGCCAGGGGAGCAAACUGG